UUUGAUCCUGGCUCAGGAUGAACGCUGGCGGCGUGCCUAACACAUGCAAGUCGAGCGAAGCAUUUUAAAGGAAGUUUUCGGAUGGAAUUUGAAAUGACUGAGCGGCGGACGGGUGAGUAACGCGUGGGUAACCUGCCUCAUACAGGGGGAUAACAGUUAGAAAUGACUGCUAAUACCGCAUAAGCACACAGUACCGCAUGGUACAGUGUGAAAAACUCCGGUGGUAUGAGAUGGACCCGCGUCUGAUUAGCUGGUUGGCGGGGUAACGGCCCACCAAGGCGACGAUCAGUAGCCGACCUGAGAGGUUGAACGGCCACAUUGGGACUGAGACACGGCCCAGACUCCUACGGGAGGCAGCAGUGGGGAAUAUUGCACAAUGGGGGAAACCCUGAUGCAGCGACGCCGCGUGGAGGAAGAAGGUCUUCGGAUUGUAAACUCCUGUUGUUGAAGAAGAUAAUGACGGUACUCAACAAGGAAGUGACGGCUAACUACGUGCCAGCAGCCGCGGUAAAACGUAGGUCACAAGCGUUGUCCGGAAUUACUGGGUGUAAAGGGAGCGCAGGCGGGAAGACAAGUUGGAAGUGAAAUCCAUGGGCUCAACCCAUGAAUUGCUUUCAAAACUGUUUUUCUUGAGUAGUGCAGAGGUAGGCGGAAUUCCCGGUGUAGCGGUGGAAUGCGUAGAUAUCGGGAGGAACACCAGUGGCGAAGGCGGCCUACUGGGCACCAACUGACGCUGAGGCUCGAAAGUGUGGGUAGCAAACAGGAUUAGAUAACCUGGUAGUCCACACUGUAAACGAUGA
RNAcentral lists this ribosomal RNA (800 nucleotides) under uncultured bacterium. RNAcentral describes it as "bacterial SSU rRNA". It matches the Rfam family "Bacterial small subunit ribosomal RNA", at positions 12 to 812 of the family's 1533-position model. The record is from RNAcentral.